CCUGUCUUUUGGCUUGUAGGAUUGCCCUUUGUGUUCAUUUUCACGUGAUGUCUCCCAGACCAAACUCCUGGAGGAAAGCAGCUGAGGUCUUGAGCUCCACCCUUCAUGCGUAUCCCCUGCCUGUGGCCUAUUGUCUGUCUCCUUUCAGCACCAACGGCAAAGACAUUUUAUCCUGUCUCUUGAGCUAGAAUUGGCAUGUUUUCUUCUCGAAAUUUUUGCCUUGGCCUAGAAUUUUGGACUCUGUUUAGAAUUCCAAAUUGAAAAUAAGUCAGGAGAUCACUGACAAGCUUAGCUGAGUCGGGCAUGAGGCCAUUUCUGAGGCACGUGGGUCUAUUUCACAAUAAUAUGCCAUUAAUGACAUGGACAAGGUCAUCAAACAUUUUAUGGAUGAAACAGCUUUCUCAAACUGCUCUCACGUCUGACUUCUCCCAGUCGUCUACUCAGAGAGGACAAGCCAACUCCGUCUGUUUAUCCUCCCGGGACCCAGCCAGUGCCGCCAUUCCUAUAACUGCUUCUGAACAUCCCAGAUGGGAGGGCCUGAAAGGGGACCCUUCUCCUCAUCAAAACUGCCCACAGCGUGGCAGAAGCUAUGGUCCAUGGCUGCUCUGGCAAUUCAGAAGAGCCCCUUCAGUGUCCACCUGGAGCAAACUACCCAUAAAAAGGUUCCGAGCCACUCAGAAUCCAGAAUCAGGUUUGUCAAGAUGACGGAGCACCAAGGAUUGCUUUGUAAACAGAAGCGCAAACUCGUUCCGAUAGUGGUUCCGCACCAGUGCGCGGCGGCCGCCCUGGCACAGCAGGCGGCCGAGGCUGCGGCUGCACCUGUCGCCUGAGGCCAGGAGGGACCCGGGCCGCGCGUGGAGGGGAAGCACCGAGCCGGGUCGCGGACCUCCGGCCUCCGGGGCAUCUCUAGGUUCUUGGCCUUUGGGCCUUCUGGCUUGCUGCGCUGUACCCUGUUGCUCCAAGAACUCUCCUGCACGCCAGGGAGGCGCCGCGGUGGACACUUGUCAGGGUCACCAGGCCUCCCUUCUGGACUCUCCCU
This 1039-nucleotide long non-coding RNA is filed under the name Equus caballus (horse). RNAcentral's name for it is "lncRNA (ENSECAG00000050422.1)". Lineage: Eukaryota; Metazoa; Chordata; Mammalia; Perissodactyla; Equidae. The record is from RNAcentral.